RNA transcript from Helicoverpa zea (corn earworm), 2614 nucleotides. It is a transcript of the gene named vesicle-associated membrane protein 2-like, with no coding region annotated. The record is from RefSeq and is a predicted model, not a curated record. Lineage: Eukaryota; Metazoa; Arthropoda; Insecta; Lepidoptera; Noctuidae. The transcript is spliced from 8 exons.
UGCCAGAUAGCUCGCUACAAAACUAUUUUGUACCCGACUAUACUGCGGCCGAUUUCAGUCGCAUUUUGCGACAACAUCGCUGCUGAAAGCUCGCCUGAACGCUGAAAACUUAGCGCUAAAAUAAUUGAAUUUACGCUUUAUUAUUUAAUUGAUUUUUUCAAUUGAAGUGAGUGAGAAGAAUUGAACAUGGCUGCCGAAGCAGGUCCCGCUCAGACCGGGCUGGCGCCCCCAGAGGGCGAGACGGGCCCCGAUGGCGAGAUCAUCGGAGGGCCCCGCACGCCGCAGCAGAUUGCAGCCCAGAGGCGGUUGCAGCAGACGCAGGCGCAAGUUGAUGAGGUGGUGGAUAUCAUGAAAACAAACAUGGACAAGGUGCUGGACCGAGAUGUGAAACUAUCAGAACUUGACGACAGAGCAGAUGCCCUGCAGUAUGGCGCGUCACAGUUUGAGCAACAAGCCAAAAGUUUGAAGAACAAGUUCUGGUUACAAAAUCUUAAGAUGAUGAUAAUAAUGGGAGUGAUCGGGAUCGUUAUAAUAGGCCUACUAUUUGGUGAUAACAUUAAACAAAUGUUUGGUUAGUUCGGUACCGAGGAACGUCGACUGUGACGGCCCCACCACCGAUCGCACCCGGCAAUAACACUGUGACAACAAAUACUAACCAUUAGACGGUAUAGAGGGGGCGGCAAUGAUCAUCACUGAUGCUUGGAAUCGAAAGAACAGAAAAUAUAUGUAAUUAAUUCACUCGUCGCAUCCGUUGGGUUCCACUUCAAAUGUGAAGCUAACUUAUUACAAUAUAAUAUUUUAUUAUUUAUCUAUUGUGGACGUAUUAAUAAAAUUGUAACAACUAGGCUCUAACUUUAAAGGAACGAAAUAUUACACAAUAUACUCGGCUGUUUUUUGAAUAAUUCAAUUAUUCAAAAUUUUAAACUUUAACUAGAUUAUAAUAUUCGAAAAUAUUUAUGUCAACAAAAUAAUUAUGUGGUUAAAAAUCUUUAAAAUGAUGCUUAAAUUAUAAAAUGUAACGUUAGCCUUAAGUGAAGACAUAAGUUCUAAUCUAUCCGUAUACAAGGUUUAGAUUUAAAAAAAGUUUAGUAAAAAAGAUUUUGCUCUUUUCAUAUUGGAAACACGACACUAAAUUUAAAACAACUAAAUAUGGCUGUUUGAAAAUUUAUUUGCGUGCCUUGUAGAUACUAUUUAGAGUCCUGUUUCAACGUACGUAAUAUCUAUUUGCUCAUUUAAACGUACUAUGAAUAUCUAUGUAUUUAUAAUUGAUAACUACUGUCGGCCAAAAGCUUGUGAAAGCGUUCAGGUUCUUCCAAAUGUAGUGGAAUCUUUCUGAUACUGUAAAAUAGCUCUAUAUUGACACAAUAUUAAUCUAUAUUCCCAACACUAAUAUCUUGUGUUUUCUCAUUGUAUACCACCAAAUACAACAGCGAUGGUAGAAAUAUGGAAUUGAACUGUAAGACAAAAUAAUUAUAAUAUUUAAAAUUAUUUUCGCUUAUUUUAUAGUUUAACAGAUCUUAUGAAUAGAAUUAUUGUAAAAUUAAUUAUAAUUAUUUCGAAAGUCCAUUAGUAUUCAUAGCGUCUUAGAAGUCAAUUAUUUGCAAUUUACAGAAAAUAUUCUUAUAUUUUAGCGGCUUAAAGUGAGUCAAUUAAAUACAGAAGUGGAUUUAAUAAUUUAAUUAUUGCUAUUUAAUAUAGAAAUUAUUUUUAGGACAGCGAUUAUUAUUGAAAUUAUUUACGUCAAUGUAUUUUAGGCUGAAACAAAUGAAACUGUAAAUGCUUACAGUUUUGGAGUGCCGUCAUUUAAUUUUGCGAUUAUAUGCCUAAUUAACGGAAUAAUUAUUUGCAUUAAUACGUAUAAAACUAUACUAUAAUUACUUAGAGUACAUGCAGGUUGGUAAGGAAGACGAGGUUGUAUUUUCUCUGUAGGUACAAUGUGAAAUUGUAAGCAGUUACAAAUCAAGGUGCCACUGACAAUAUUAGUUCUUUUAUAAAAUAACGAGUGUGAUAAUUAAAUGAAUUAUAUAAUUAUAAUUAUUUGACUAUUCGGUGUUGUGCUAAUCGCUUGUCUUUUCAAUGUAGUUAUAUUAACUUAACUACAAGACUUAAGAGGGAAGACAUAAGACAAAAUUCUAUUAUACACACUGUAGGAAAUUAUAUUCUAUCUAUUUCAUAGUGUAUCUCAUAGGAUAUCUUAUAGCAUUCCUAAUAAAGUAUAUACAAUUUCCCCAUCAUACGAUCUCGAUGCCCCAAUGGGUUGUGACGUUGAUCCAAGUUUAUGUCGCAGAUUACGAAAAUAAACAUUAAAUGUUCAGAAUUUUGUAUCCUUCAAUAUAAACUUAGAACAACAUCAACACUAAUUUGCGAAUUAUAAUAAUUAAAAAUUCCUUAAUGUUUAAAAUUCCUUGACAGUUGCCAUUUGCAACUUUAAUUCAAAGAUUAAAUAUUUUAUUCGACGAGUUAAAUAAUUAAAAUCUAUUUAUAUUUAACGAAAUAAUUAUUUAUUUAACAAUUCAAUGUUGUAGUGUAAGAUGUAUUAUUUCAAUUUUAAUUUGUAACAUUUACGAAUUUGUCGUGUUAUCAUUAAAUUAUUAUUGAAAGUCACAGAUUAUAC